This is a non-coding RNA of Paramuricea clavata, 368 nucleotides long. The record is from the annotation of a GenBank genome assembly. NCBI's taxonomy places the organism in Eukaryota, Metazoa, Cnidaria, Anthozoa, Malacalcyonacea, Plexauridae.
AUCAACUUAAACCCGGAAGCGGCGUCGUUCCGAUCAAGACGAGAUGCUGCAGUGGCAGCUCAACAACGCAUUAAAGAAGUAGUAGAAGUAGAACGUUGACGAAAACUAUAUAGUGCAAAUUGAACACUGAACUUUUAUAGAACUUUAUCCUUUAUUAGUACUGUUUGGUUAGACCAGUCUCCUUUGAGGGACAUAUACCUCGCUGUAAGGUAUAUGGGGGGAGAGUGUCGGAAACUGUCGUAAUCUAGAAUUAGUAUUUAUGUUCACGCGUGGGACGCGCGAGUCCAAACUUUAAACACUUCGGAAAGUUCCAGAUUAUACCGGUGGUGGUUGUUUUUUCCAGGAGAGAACUUAAAAACAUGUGGCUG